Molecule: long non-coding RNA, 2940 nt
Filed under: Salmo salar (Atlantic salmon)
Lineage: Eukaryota; Metazoa; Chordata; Actinopteri; Salmoniformes; Salmonidae
Description: lncRNA (ENSSSAG00000090947.1)
Source: RNAcentral
CAAUGCUAAUCCUCCCAGCUGUGUUAUAGGUUGAAGCUAAGCUAACGAAGGCUAUGCUAAUCCUCCAAACUGUGUUAUAGGUUGAAGCUAAGCUAACGGACGCUAUGCUAAUCCUCCCAGCUGUGAUACUAAUGACUAGCGGAUUAGCGAGAUAAGGGUGUGUGUGUGUGUGUGUGUAGUGUGUGUGUGUAUUGUGUGUGUGUAGUGCGUGUGUAAUGUGUAGUGUGUGUGUGUGUGUGUGUGUGUGUGUGUAGUGUGUAGUGUUUGUCUCAGCUUUCCCACAGACCAACAGCUGGGAGUUGACCUGUAGCGAGGUUGUCAAGAUGAUGACGGAGGCUUCCCAACAUUCCAGAGAGGCGGGAAGUAAACCAUGUGCUCCUGUCAAUCAUCGAGUCAGGAAGUUAAAAAGAAGGAAAAAAAAACACACAGGAGUUUCUCAGGGAAGUUUUAUUGGGCUUUAUAAGUUGAAAUACAAAAUGCCACAUUAUGAAAAGAAAAACAGUUUCAUUAAAAUUUGCCAAGAAACAGAGUUACAUAGAAAAAAAAACAAAGCAAGGCACCGCCACAACCCAAUCGGAUUCCCCCUUUGUGCUCACGGGCCAAUAGCAGCGCGCAGCCACGAUAUUAGACUACUCAAGAGGUUCAAGACAGGCGAGUGUUUUCAUCAGUAAAGAGUUCGUGCUCCUCGUCAUCAAGAAAGACGUGUAUUACGUCACAGAAACACGUGGUCCAGAUCAUCACGUUUUUUUAAAUCUCAACCUCUGUAUCGCAACCAGUUCUAAACUAUGGUUCUAACCAGUUCUAAACUAUGGUUCCGUGGUUCUAGCCAGUUCUAACCAGUUCUAAACUAUGGUUCCAUGGUUCUAGCCAGUUCUAACCAGUUCUAAACUCUGGUUCUAGCCAGUUCUAACCAGUUCUAAACUCUGGUUCCAUAGUUUUAGCCAGUUCUAAAUUCUGGUUCCAUGGUUCUAGCCAGUUCUAACCAGUUCUAAACUAUGGUUCCAUGGUUCUAGCCAGUUCUAACCAGUUCUCAACUAUGGUUCCAUGGUUCUAGCCAGUUCUAACCAGUUCUAAACUAUGGUUCUAGCCAGUUCUAAAUUCUGGUUCCAUGGUUCUAGCCAGUUCUAACCAGUUCUAAACUAUGGUUCCAUGGUUCUAGCCAGUUCUAACCAGUUCUCAACUAUGGUUCCAUGGUUCUAGCCAGUUCUAACCAGUUCUCAACUAUGGUUCCAUGGUUCUAACUAGUUCUAAACUCUGGUUCUAUGGUUCUAGCCAGUUAUAAACUCUGGUUCCAUGGUUCUAGCCAGUUGGAACCAGUUCUCAACUAUGGUUCCAUGGUUCUAGCCAGUUAUUAUUAUAAUCAUUAUAGCCAGUCAGUGUGACUCAGUUAGACGGUGUUGGACUCUCCAGUUUAGUAGCAGCCAGAGGAAGAGAUGGUUUAGAAACAUUAUGGCUCUGUCCCAAAUGGCGCCCUUUUCCCCUGUAAUCCACAAAUUCAACUCUGGCCCUGGAAGACAGUUCCGCUGUUUUUAUUCAUUCUUCCCCUCUAAAUCAGGGCCUGAUUUAGACCUGGGACAACAAGUGGGUGAUAUCCCCUCUAAAUCAGGGCCUGAUUUAGACCUGGGACAACACGUUGGUGAUAUCCCCUCUAAAUCAGGGCCUGAUUUAGACCUGGGACAACACGUGGGUGAUAUUCCCCUCUAAAUCAGGGCCUGAUUUAGACCUGGGACAACACGUGGGUGAUUCCCCUCUAAAUCAGGGCCUGAUUUAGACCUGGGACAACAGGUGGGUGUAAAUAAUGAUCAGCCAGAACAGAGAACCAAUGGGCUCUUGACCUCAUAGGGAUCCAAUCUGAAUACCCGUACCCUAUACAGUGCACUACUUUUGCCCUCGCUGGUGAAAUGGGCCGUCCCUGGUCUAAAGGUCAUAAUGCCCUGUACAGGGGCUAGGGAUUAUGGUGCUAUUUGGGAUACAGACUUUGUCUCUGAGAGUUCAGACAGGUGAGAAACGUCCUGUCUCUGACAUGGUUAAAGAGUUCAGACAGAUGAGAAACGUCCUGUCUCUGACAUGGUUAAAGAGUUCAGACAGGUGAGAAAUUUCCAGUUAGGGGGUUUCCAGUAUUAGCCCCAUAUAGCCCCUAUAUUUAGCCCCAUAUAGCCCCUAUAUUUAGCCCCAUAUAGCCCCUAUAUUUAGCCCCAUAUAGACCCUAUAUUUAGCCCCAUAUAGCCCCUAUAUUUAGCCCCAUAUAGCCCCUAUAUUUAGCCCUAUAUAGCCGCUAUAUUUAGCCCCAUAUAGCCUCUAUAUUUAGCCCCAUAUAGCCCCUAUAUUUAGCCCCUUAUAGCCCCUAUAUUUAGCCUCAUAUAGCCCCUAUAUUUAGCCCCAUAUAGCCCCUAUAUUUAGCCCCAUAUAGCCCCUAUAUUUAGCCCCAUAUAGCCCCUAUAUUUAGCCCCAUAUUAACUGUAAAGUGUAUAACUUUAAAGUGUAUAACUGUAAACUGUAUAACUGUAAAAUGUAGUAUAACUGUAAACUGUAUAACUGUAAAGUGUAUAACUGUAAAGUGUGAGUGUUAACUGUAAAGUGUGAGUGUUAACUGUAAAGUGUAUAACUGUAAAGUGUAUAACUGUAAACUGUAUAACUGUAAAGUGUAGUAUAACUGUAAAGUGUAUAACUGUAAAGUGUGAGUGUUAACUGUAAAGUGUAUAACUGUAAAGUGUGAGUGUUAACUGUAAAGUGUAUAACUGUAAACUGUAUAACUGUAAAGUGUGAGUGUUUUCAUUUUUUAAAUAGAAUUUUACAAUGACAACACACGUAAACAAAGACCCCAAACAGACCCCUAACGUUACCAAACACCAAUGACAUCACUUCCGCUCAGACCCACAUGUUCCCACUGCUACUAUACACGUCCCAUAUGUCUCCCUCCCUCCCUCCCCACCCACCCAC